AAUUUAAUUGUGCAAUUCAAUUUAAUUUGAUAACUUUAUUCUUACUUUAUUUUAUGAUUUUAUUUUGAGAAAUAUC
RNAcentral lists this transfer RNA (76 nucleotides) under Micrathyria didyma. RNAcentral's name for it is "tRNA-Val". The record is from RNAcentral. Lineage: Eukaryota; Metazoa; Arthropoda; Insecta; Odonata; Libellulidae.